GAUGAACGCUAGCUACAGGCUUAACACAUGCAAGUCGAGGGGUAACGAGAGGAAAGCUUGCUUUCCUUGUCGACGACCGGCGCACGGGUGAGUAACGCGUAUCCAACCUGCCCCCAACUAGGGAAUAACCUUGCGAAAGUAAGACUAAUACCCUAUAAUUUCCUCAGAUGACAUCUGACGAGGAAUAAAGAUUUAUCGGUUGUGGAUGGGGAUGCGUCUGAUUAGCUUGUUGGCGGGGUAACGGCGCACCAAGGCAACGAUCAGUAGGGGUUCUGAGAGGAAGGUCCCCCACAUUGGAACUGAGACACGGUCCAAACUCCUACGGGAGGCAGCAGUGAGGAAUAUUGGUCAAUGGGCGGAAGCCUGAACCAGCCAAGUAGCGUGCAGGAUGACGGCCCUAUGGGUUGUAAACUGCUUUUAUACAGGAAUAAAGUUAGCCACGUGUGGUUAUUUGUAGGUACUGUAUGAAUAAGGACCGGCUAAUUCCGUGCCAGCCGCCGCGGUAA
This 506-nucleotide ribosomal RNA is filed under the name uncultured bacterium. RNAcentral's name for it is "partial 16S ribosomal RNA". It matches the Rfam family "Bacterial small subunit ribosomal RNA", at positions 28 to 523 of the family's 1533-position model. The record is from RNAcentral.